RNAcentral lists this ribosomal RNA (465 nucleotides) under uncultured bacterium. RNAcentral describes it as "partial 16S ribosomal RNA". It matches the Rfam family "Bacterial small subunit ribosomal RNA", at positions 338 to 795 of the family's 1533-position model. The record is from RNAcentral.
CCUACGGGAGGCAGCAGUGGGGAAUAUUGCGCAAUGGGCGAAAGCCUGACGCAGCGACGCCGCGUGAGGGAUGAAGGUCUUCGGAUCGUAAACCUCUGUCAGCAGGGAAGAACGGUCACUGUGCUAAUCAGCAGUGAAUUGACGGUACCUGCAAAGGAAGCACCGGCUAACUCCGUGCCAGCAGCCGCGGUAAUACGGAGGGUGCGAGCGUUAAUCGGAAUUACUGGGCGUAAAGCGCUCGUAGGCGGUAUGUCAAGUCAAGGGUGAAAUCCCCGCGCUCAACGUGGGAACUGCCUUUGAAACUGGCAGACUGGAGUGUGUGAGAGGAGAGUGGAAUUCCAGGUGUAGGAGUGAAAUCCGUAGAUAUCUGGAGGAACAUCAGUGGCGAAGGCGACUAUCUGGCACAUAACUGACGCUGAGGAGCGAAAGCGUGGGUAGCAAACAGGAUUAGAUACCCUGGUAGUC